AUGGGCGAAAGCCUGAUGCAGCAACGCCGCGUGAGGGAUGACGGCCUUCGGGUUGUAAACCUCUUUUAGCAGGGAAGAAGCGAAAGUGACGGUACCUGCAGAAAAAGCGCCGGCUAACUACGUGCCAGCAGCCGCGGUAAUACGUAGGGCGCAAGCGUUAUCCGGAAUUAUUGGGCGUAAAGAGCUCGUAGGCGGUUUGUCGCGUCUGCUGUGAAAUCCCGAGGCUCAACCUCGGGUCUGCAGUGGGUACGGGCAGACUAGAGUGCGGUAGGGGAGAUUGGAAUUCCUGGUGUAGCGGUGGAAUGCGCAGAUAUCAGGAGGAACACCGAUGGCGAAGGCAGAUCUCUGGGCCGUUACUGACGCUGAGGAGCGAAAGGGUGGGGAGCAAACAGGCUUAGAUACCCUGGUAGUCCACCCCGUAAACGUUGGGAACUAGUUGUGGGGUCCAUUCCACGGAUUCCGUGACGCAGCUAACGCAUUAAGUUCCCCGCCUGGGGAGUACGGCCGCAAGGCUAAAACUCAAAGGAAUUGACGGGGACCCGCACAAGCGGCGGAGCAUGCGGAUUAAUUCGAUGCAACGCGAAGAACCUUACCAAGGCUUGACAUAUACGAGAACGGGCCAGAAAUGGUCAACUCUUUGGACACUCGUAAACAGGUGGUGCAUGGUUGUCGUCAGCUCGUGUCGUGAGAUGUUGGGUUAAGUCCCGCAACGAGCGCAACCCUCGUUCUAUGUUGCCAGCACGUAAUGGUGGGAACUCAUGGGAUACUGCCGGGGUCAACUCGGAGGAAGGUGGGGAUGACGUCAAAUCAUCAUGCCCCUUAUGUCUUGGGCUUCACGCAUGCUACAAUGGCCGGUACAAAGGGCUGCAAUACCGCGAGGUGGAGCGAAUCCCAAAAAGCCGGUCCCAGUUCGGAUUGAGGUCUGCAACUCGACCUCAUGAAGUCGGAGUCGCUAGUAAUCGCAGAUCAGCAACGCUGCGGUGAAUACGUUCCCGGGUCUUGUACACACCGCCCGUCAAGUCAUGAAAGUCGGUAACACCUGAAGCCGGUGGCCCAACCCUUGU
Molecule: ribosomal RNA, 1064 nt
Filed under: Microbacterium sp. OTB126
Lineage: Bacteria; Bacillati; Actinomycetota; Actinomycetes; Micrococcales; Microbacteriaceae
Description: bacterial SSU rRNA
Rfam family: Bacterial small subunit ribosomal RNA
Source: RNAcentral